AAUAUUGGACAAUGGGGGCAACCCUGAUCCAGCCAUGCCGCGUGUGUGAAGAAGGUCUUCGGAUUGUAAAGCACUUUAAGUUGGGAGGAAGGGCUUUAGGUUAAUACCCUGAAGUUUUGACGUUACCAACAGAUUAAGCACCGGCUAACUCUGUGCCAGCAGCCGCGGUAAUCCAGAGGGUGCAAGCGUUAAUCGGAAUUACUGGGCGUAAAGCGGGGGUAGGUGGUUCAGGAAUAUGGGUGUAAAACCCCCGGGCUUAACCGGGGAACUGCUUUCAUAACUGCUGAGCUAGAGUACGGUAGAGGGUAGGGGAAUUUCCUGUGUAGGGGUGAAAUGCGUAGAUAUAGGAAGGAACACCAGUGGCGAAGGCGACUACCUGGACUGAUACUGACACUGAGGUGCGAAAGCGUGGGGAGCAAACA
Molecule: ribosomal RNA, 422 nt
Filed under: uncultured bacterium
Lineage: Bacteria
Description: partial 16S ribosomal RNA
Rfam family: Bacterial small subunit ribosomal RNA
Source: RNAcentral